Tarenaya hassleriana is the source of this 4707-nucleotide long non-coding RNA. RefSeq lists it as uncharacterized. NCBI's taxonomy places the organism in Eukaryota, Viridiplantae, Streptophyta, Magnoliopsida, Brassicales, Cleomaceae. The record is from RefSeq and is a predicted model, not a curated record. The transcript has 12 exons.
GACUAUGCAGACACUGAUUUCAACGAGAAGCUGUUGGGGCACAAUGAUGUACAAUCCACGCUUUCUGCCAAAGGCUGCCUGACCAAGCUCAUGGGUUAGAUUUAGGCGGUGAAGCUAACGCAAGAAGAUGGUACGUGUUUGCAUGAUCAUGAUGCCCGUGGAUAUAAAGAAGGAAGGGAGUAACAUAGACAUACCAUCCAAGCUCGGACAUGGCAUAGGGGAGACCAAGAACGCCGGCACCAACCAUAGCAGUGACGUUGUGGAAAGCGGAAUAGUACCAUUUGGCGUUUCUUGACGCUGUGAUGGGAAGCCAAUCUUCCAGAUCAGUUAAAAAGAGAUGGAGCAUCAUCCCCCCUGAAGAACCACAGCUUCCUAUGAAUAUGCAUGUUGGGCAUCUAUAUUAUAUAUAUCAGCGUGAACGAAUUUUACUACCUGGGGUGGGGCGAGGCUUUUGUUUGGAGGAAUUGGGGUUCCCAUGAUUGCACAAACUUGGGGAAUGUGAUGUUGGAGUCAGUCCCAAUCAUAUUUGUAGUUGCAAAGAACUUGCGUGGGAAGAGAAAGCCAGCACGGAUGUUGACUUUACUAGGUUGACCUCUUCUUCACGAUACAAUCCGAUUGUUCUUGGUGGUUUGGAUACAACAUUAUUUGCAGUUUGUUGUGGAUGCUGAACAAAAGGCCCACUAAAUACCCAAGUUGCCCCAAAAAUGUAAGCCCAUGGGUUUCAUCUGGGGAUCCAAACCCCUUCGAUCGAAGCCCGGCCAUUCAUCUCCGAUCGGUCAAUCCUUGCACCGGAACAACAAUACCAGUUUUCCGAGGGAGCGCUUAGGAUCGUAGAAUGGGAAGGAAAUGCCGAUGACUUUAGCGGUUUCAGUUUGAUGUUAGGUUCAGUUUCUUUGGUUCGUCACAAUGUGGCUCUACUGUAGAAUUGGAGGUAAGUCUUUUUCAUCUUUCGUUUCCUUUUAAACUUUCUUUUCUGACAAGUUUCUAGUUCAUGGGUCUCCUUAUGGCAAAUGAUUUGUGGACUCAGGUGUGAUGCUAGCUUCUUCCAGAUUUUAUAAGAUAACUAACUAUUGAUUGACCUCCCUGGAACUUCAUUCUGCCAUUGGCCUCUUAACUGUCUAUCAUCCUUUCCCUUUUGAUAUGAUGCAGGCUCUGCCUGUUUUUCUUUCUUUAACUCCAGGCUUUAUCUCUCUGUAACUCCAAGCUAUCUAGGUCCUUGAUUGGUGUCACUAGCAGCAAUACUGGUGAAAAGGAUUAAGAAAUGAAGGCAUGAGACUGAUGUUUUCCGUAAUAAACCCUGUGGAAUUGGAGAAACGCUCAGCAUUAGUUAAAAGGUAUAUUGUAUAUGCAAACCACCUAUCGGUGAAGCUUGUAAAAGACAUGUUUCAAUAUUUCAAUUGGUGUUGAUUUUAUGGUGGAGUUCACUGGAGUGUUUAUGGAGAAAGACAGAGCUGCUGCUCCCUUAAAGGGCAAUGCUAAGGAGAGUAAUCCCCCCCUUCCCAUGUUUGUGGUGGGUGUCUAUGUGAAGGAAUACAAGCUUGUUAUUGAUGUUCUAGGAUGUUUGUGCACACCAAUUCUCUUGCUCCCCUACCCUGAGGUUAUAUGGACAAUGAACAUGGAUGACAACCCAAAAGACUGUUGAUGUUCUGUCUAUGAAGAGCUGGAGCUGUUUCCUUCGAUAACUUCUAAAGCAAUACCGCAGCUGCAAAGGGAGGUUGCGAAAAGGAGCCUCAGGUGUCUUUCUUCGUUGGAGAAGUCGAAGCUUAGCCAAUUAUCUUACCUUGUAGUUUGUCUUGUGCAGAUAAGAAGAAGCGAGUUAAAAGUAGGACGCUGAGGAUCGCCGAAAGAGUUAGUUGACGGGGAAAAUAACGGUUGCAUGAGGCCGACGUAAAUAAAACGUACCGUUUGCCCAAAAUGAGAUUCGCAGGUAAACCAGAGCUAAAACGGGCUUCAUCGAUCCGGACAACCACUCUACCAACGGAUCGAUGCCUAUUGCCUAUAAAAUAGCAGUAAUGAAGGCUAGGCCCUUUUAGACUAAGGUUAAGAUCCACUAGGCCCAAGAAAUACAUGCGGAAGCCCCUCUCUGUGUCACAAUAGAGCAGCUUCGGUCCGUUUCCGCCCGCUUAGUUAAAGCUGUAUGCAUAAAUAAGAUUGGUCCAAAUAAGCCCCUAAAAUGUGCUCAAAAGUUCCCCACCUGGAGCGUAGUGGAAGCCCAACAGCAGCCCUGAAAACGGGCCAACCAAUGCCACAACAGCCCAAUAGUGGCCCCAAAACCAUCGAGGCCCAAAAGAUGCCCCCGGCGAAAAAGCAUGGGUGCAAAUAGCACCCAAGCAAUGGUCACACGGUAAGUAUAGUCAACAGUCAUAAAACUCAGGCCCAAAACAGGCUGAAAGGGUCCCUAUAAUGGCCCAACAGGGUCCAAUAGAAGCCCAAUAGUGACCCAAUAAAUUCCAAAAGGUGCCCAACUGCGUCCGAAAAUGGCCCAAUAAUUCCGUCGUAGACCCAUUAACGACCUUAGUGAGGCUUAACAAAAGUCUAACAAGGGCCCAAAAGAAGCCCAAACAUCCUGCAGCCAAUCGAAAACCCAACCGAGGACCACCGACGGCCUAUCACCUGCGCCGACUCAUUAAUUGAGUCGCAGUAGUUUGUCUUUGAAGCAGGAGGCUUCAGGCGCAACUUAUGUUCAGUACCGUUGUCAUAACCUUUUUUUUUUUUUUUUAUGUUAUGCGAGUUAGUCUAUUGGCUGUUGGCACGCCUCCCAGGCGACGGCGAUGCUAUCACGAUGGAACCCGUCAUCCCAUCUUUGUUAACAUUAUGUGACCCCCCGUCCCUAUUUUACAGUGAUACAUCGACGAGAUUAAAAAAACAGAGCACGUAUGAGAUCAACUUAUUACAACGAGCACUAACUAAGAAAAUAUGAAACACAUCACAAAAUGAAAACGAGAAAGCCAUCGGAGAAUUAAUCCAGCUCCUCUCCUCUAGGUGACCUGGGAAAGCCAGUUGACAUGCAAGGGUAAAGCACCGGAGAAUUAAUCCGUGUGAUGGGAGUAGUUCCGCUUGCCUAAUAACUGAGAGCAAACGCCAUCACAGAAUAUUAACAGUAAAACGAAAGUAAGGACAUCCAUAACUGUCCAGGUCCAUGCCUCACAAACUCAAGAAGAAGUGCACAUGAUGGGUUCCCGAUUCCAGCUUCAUCCUGAUCCUACCGCAAUUAGACAAAACUAAAUAACAUAGCAAGAAUUACUCAUAAUCAUUCAUCAGCUUUCCAAACAACUGUUCCUUGAUAACACAUACUGCUCCUAUCCCAACACCUCUAAACUAGGACUAAAGACUGGUGUUAUACUCGACAUUUGCAGAAGUUUAGAAAAAAUAAAAUAAAAGCAACCAGCGUGACGCUUGCAUCAACACAAAAAGGAAAAGACAGGCACCUAGGCAACCAUACACAGAAACCUAGAUAGCUAACUGAAAAGAGCUCAGCUAAAUAGGCCAGUCAAGUCGAUCAAUGGCACAAAAUUCGAAAAAGAUUAUCAUGACACCAAAUGGUCUUGCAAAACAAGCAACAUGCAACAAUUCGAAAAAUAUAUGCAUAAUGGAUGGGUAUGUAAUACUUAAGCUUCUCAUUCACAAUAUGAAUCAUAAAAGCGGCACAGCCAAAGUAAUGCAUAUGAGAUUGAUAGAAGGUGGUUAGAAAAGAAAUAAUUAGUGGUUAUCACACAAAAUGAGAAGGCUCUGACCUUCUAGAGUUAGCACACGAUUAUUCUCCCGUACUUAUUUCUCCGGCUCUGGCAGGUAACACCAAAAAUAAUGCGAGCCAUUGAAACAAAGGAAAAGAUAUCCACAAAAAUUAGCAACAAGAACAGAGACUGUCAGACUUAGACUGCUAAAAAUCGACGUUCAACAACAAGUAUAUAUUCUUUCUCUACGGCUUAGUUUUCUUGGAUCAAUCUAUCUAGUAGGAUGAUCGAUUCAGUAAGCAAAAGAAAUGUUUGGAGGUGCUUUUCCGUAGCCUCUGUUUUGUUUACCUUCAGUUGAUAAUCCUCCAAACUUCUCACCAUAACAUGGGAGUAAAUGUGACGGUUGGCCAUAAUUCUCUUCUUCAGUUCCGGGGGAAAGGAAAUUGAACAAACAAAACAGUGGAGAAUUUUCUUGAUAAUAUCUUCAAAAAACACGGCAAAUAUUGCAGAGAGAAAAUCGGCGGAAAAAGCUUAGAAAGCAAAGAUAUCGAGUAGAAUAAAAAAUUCAACCGACGAUCGAAAAUCUAAAAUCAGCGAAGAAAAAGAGAUGCGGGAGAGGCAUAAUCACCUGAAAACUAAAAAGAUGAGAGAAUCCACGCCGUGCGACCGGUGCUCAUACUGCGAACGAUCCGUCGCGGACUGAUCUUGUUGGGCCAUCCAUUAGAAGAAUCCCUGUCGGCCUAUAUCUCAUGCUUCUCCACCGCCAUGACCGGCGAUCUUCAAUGGGGGGAGGAGGACGAUUUGAAAAUCAAAGAAUCGGAGAGGCAGUUACGCUAAAAGCAGGAAAGGGUUAAAAUUAAAAAGGAAAAGGUAAAAGCCCAACCAAGAGGCUAGAAGGCUCAAGCCCAAAACAGUGGACAUAUUGAUAAACUUCCAGUAGAGAUAGAGUCUUCGCUCUUAAUUGAAGACAAUUAGGGAAGAGCUUCCUGACUCUUGGACCAAGAUUAGUAGUUGCCGUUUGGGGUGAUAUCCU